UUACUUCAUUGUUGUGAGCUUGUUGGCUCUACCUGCCCAUCUUCUUGGCAAACGCCCAUCUAACUUCUAUUAUGGAAGAAAAGACAACAGUAAUAAAAUAAUGUAGAAGAACAUUU
Molecule: non-coding RNA, 116 nt
Organism: Pteropus vampyrus (large flying fox)
Lineage: Eukaryota; Metazoa; Chordata; Mammalia; Chiroptera; Pteropodidae
Source: Rfam